This 1435-nucleotide ribosomal RNA is filed under the name Parabacteroides distasonis. RNAcentral's name for it is "bacterial SSU rRNA". It matches the Rfam family "Bacterial small subunit ribosomal RNA". Lineage: Bacteria; Pseudomonadati; Bacteroidota; Bacteroidia; Bacteroidales; Tannerellaceae. The record is from RNAcentral.
GGCGACCGGCGCACGGGUGAGUAACGCGUAUGCAACUUGCCUAUCAGAGGGGGAUAACCCGGCGAAAGUCGGACUAAUACCGCAUGAAGCAGGGAUCCCGCAUGGGAAUAUUUGCUAAAGAUUCAUCGCUGAUAGAUAGGCAUGCGUUCCAUUAGGCAGUUGGCGGGGUAACGGCCCACCAAACCGACGAUGGAUAGGGGUUCUGAGAGGAAGGUCCCCCACAUUGGUACUGAGACACGGACCAAACUCCUACGGGAGGCAGCAGUGAGGAAUAUUGGUCAAUGGCCGAGAGGCUGAACCAGCCAAGUCGCGUGAGGGAUGAAGGUUCUAUGGAUCGUAAACCUCUUUUAUAAGGGAAUAAAGUGCGGGACGUGUCCCGUUUUGUAUGUACCUUAUGAAUAAGGAUCGGCUAACUCCGUGCCAGCAGCCGCGGUAAUACGGAGGAUCCGAGCGUUAUCCGGAUUUAUUGGGUUUAAAGGGUGCGUAGGCGGCCUUUUAAGUCAGCGGUGAAAGUCUGUGGCUCAACCAUAGAAUUGCCGUUGAAACUGGGGGGCUUGAGUAUGUUUGAGGCAGGCGGAAUGCGUGGUGUAGCGGUGAAAUGCAUAGAUAUCACGCAGAACCCCGAUUGCGAAGGCAGCCUGCCAAGCCAUGACUGACGCUGAUGCACGAAAGCGUGGGGAUCAAACAGGAUUAGAUACCCUGGUAGUCCACGCAGUAAACGAUGAUCACUAGCUGUUUGCGAUACACUGUAAGCGGCACAGCGAAAGCGUUAAGUGAUCCACCUGGGGAGUACGCCGGCAACGGUGAAACUCAAAGGAAUUGACGGGGGCCCGCACAAGCGGAGGAACAUGUGGUUUAAUUCGAUGAUACGCGAGGAACCUUACCCGGGUUUGAACGCAUUCGGACCGAGGUGGAAACACCUUUUCUAGCAAUAGCCGUUUGCGAGGUGCUGCAUGGUUGUCGUCAGCUCGUGCCGUGAGGUGUCGGCUUAAGUGCCAUAACGAGCGCAACCCUUGCCACUAGUUACUAACAGGUAAAGCUGAGGACUCUGGUGGGACUGCCAGCGUAAGCUGCGAGGAAGGCGGGGAUGACGUCAAAUCAGCACGGCCCUUACAUCCGGGGCGACACACGUGUUACAAUGGCGUGGACAAAGGGAAGCCACCUGGCGACAGGGAGCGAAUCCCCAAACCACGUCUCAGUUCGGAUCGGAGUCUGCAACCCGACUCCGUGAAGCUGGAUUCGCUAGUAAUCGCGCAUCAGCCAUGGCGCGGUGAAUACGUUCCCGGGCCUUGUACACACCGCCCGUCAAGCCAUGGGAGCCGGGGGUACCUGAAGUCCGUAACCGCGAGGAUCGGCCUAGGGUAAAACUGGUGACUGGGGCUAAGUCGUAACAAGGUAGCCGUACCGGAAGGUGCGGCUGGAACACCUCCUUUCU